CAACCGCACAAAUCUUUUCUUCUCACUCCUCUUCAUUGCUCCUCUCUCUCUCAUCUAAUCUUCUUUUCUUCUCCCUCCUCUUCACUGCUCCUUUCUCUCUCAUCUAAUCUUCUAAUCUUCUAAUCUUCUAAUCUAUCUAAGCUCGAAAAAGUUAGGGUUUUGGAUAUGGUUGAGCAUGCAGAAUUGUUGAUUUCAUCGAGUUUUCAGGGUUCCCAAAAUUCUCGAUUAAAUAUGAAAUCAAGAGAUACGAGCGUUUAUGAUUUCACGGAAGAUGACGAAUUGACCGAAACCCUUCAGUAGGUUCCCAAAAUUCUCGAUUAAAUAUGAAACCAAGAGAUAUGAGCGUUUAUGAUUUCACGGAAGAUGACGAAUUGACCGAAACUCUUCAGCAGGUUCCCAAAAUUCUCGAUUAAAUAUGAAACCAAGAGAUAUGAGCGUUUAUGAUUUCACUGAAGAUUGACCGAAACUCUUCAGCAUUCAACUUCCCGGGACUACUCAAGAUCAUCUUGAGAUAUUUAAUGUUGAAUCAAAAGCAAAGAUAAAGUCCUAUCAAAUGCCUGAGAUGGAAGAUGGAUAUGAUUUGGAUAUGACAUAUAUUACUGAGAAUAUUCUUGCUAUGGGAUUAUGAGCUCAGGAUUUUUUGGAUAGCUAGAGGGUUUAUAUUGUAAUCAUAUGGAGGAAGUGAUCAACUUCUUAGAAAGCCAUCAAGCUUGAUUUCCAGGAAUAAUUUUGGACAUACUAGAUCAACUAUCCGGAAGUGGUGUAUUUUCAAGGCCACACAUUGAUUUUUCCUCGAAUUUCUCAAGAAACCUCGAAUUUCAUUUGGAAGAACAAGAGAGAAAAGAUGGAUGUUGUGCAACUUCUUCAGAGGCAAUUUAUCGAUUACAUGAAGUCUCUAUUUAUGGAGGAAAUGCGAAUUAGAGGAGAGAAAAAUUUAAACGAUCGAGUUUGAAGGUGAGCGAUCCUCAACCUUCCGCCAACAAAUUUCUUCACUAUUACGACGAAUCGGAGCGAUUCGAAUUCUUAUGAAACUGGUUACCCUUUCUAUCCAAAGACCUCUGUCAUCACUGCACCUUCACUUUCUCUCAUCGCAUCCGCUCUCUCUCUCCUCGUAUAUUUUCUUACAUCUCCGCCUUUUCCUUUCUUUUAAAUUUUUAAUCUUAUGAUGUUUGCUUUUGUUUUUGAAUUAGGUUUAAUUUACUUGAGUUUUUCAAAAUUUGCGCUUUUUUUCUGUUCAUCUUGAUACCAAAGAAUUUAGCAGCUGAAACUUUUUCUUUCCGUGUCUUGAUUUAAGUUUUUGUUAUUGUGUUUUCUAUGUUGGAUUACCAAUUAAUGGUUUGAUGAAUUGGCUGUUUCUCUUUACAAAGCUUUUGAUGCAAAGAAAUUGUGAUUGAUAUCUAUUAGAAGUGUUGAGAUUAUUGUUCAACUGGUUUCGUUAGUUUGAUUUUACUUUACUAGGGAAAAAUGAGAUUGAUUAUACUUCACGUGUUUAAAGAGGUAUAUCAAGAUUAAUUGCUUUUUCGAACAAUUGUAGACUGGGGAAUGCGGUUGAUUAGUGCGGUGUGAUAUCUGCUAAAAGGACUUUGCCUAGAAGAAUGAAAAUCUUAGACCUUUUAAAAGUUGGAAGCCUGCAAAUCUUAUGAUGUUGGUACUUCCAUUGAUGUUGGUACUUCCAACUUUAAAAAGAGAGAAAAGAUACUUUGCUUAGAAGAAUGAAAAUCUUAAACCUGCAAAUAUUAUUGUGUUUUCUGUGUUGGAUUACCAAUUACUAUCUAUUUGCAGGUUACAUGAACCACCCUAUGUUAAGACGUCCAUCCUAUCCAUCUUAUGUCAGAAAAGGUUUGCAGGUUUUGUAAAUUAGCUUAAGCUUACAUGAUAUCUAAUUUAGCAACAUUUUCCCUGGUAAACUUGACAUGUUUAUGAUGCUCGUGUGCUGAACAUAUUCCAGAUUUCAAGUUGUUUAAUGUUGUAAGUACUACUACAAAAGUUUUGCCUCUAUUAGAGCAUUAUUUUCCCUUUAGAACCUGGCACAUUUAAAAACAAUGGGAAAAAGAAACAUACAAAAGAAGUUUUUUAGCCUAACCCUCGGUUUUGUUUUACAUCUCUUUCUUCUUCUACCUUCAUUCAUUUCAAUUUCCUAUCUAAAAAAUUGACAAAUCAUAUUUCCAUCAUCAUCAAUUUCAUCAAAUUACCUUUCUGAAUUUGAUAAUUCAAUUAACAAGAGUUGUUAGAGAACAAAAAUCAAAGAAUUUGCUAUCAAAUUUAUCUUCUUUCUACAACACCCAAGACCUGGAUCUUCCAAAAAUUUCAAAGGGUUGGUUGUUUACUACAAAUUUUAACCAAAUUUGUAGCCUUUACAUGUUUAAGUAAGAAUUUAGAAUUCAAUUUAUAUGAUUUUGAGUGGUAAGUUGAAAAUAUUGAGAAAUUGGGGGUUCAGUUGACCCACUGAAUCCCUUGGGGUGGUUGUGAUGGAUGAAGAAGUAUGUCGCAGUGAUUACGGUGAGCUGUUGGAUGAGUUGCCAUCAUCUUCGCCGUCUAUCAGUUCGGGGUUUUGUCCUCGGCAGCUGGUUUUCUGUCCAUAUCAAUCGAGUAAUGAGCCUACGACUUUAAGGGUUGUGGUUAGAAAACCGUUGGUAUCGAAACUUACGAAGCACAUAGUUAGAACGUAUCAAUGUUCAAUGAUGGCCAUGAUAAUUCACAGACACAGCAAAGGUGUGUUUUUUUUGUGAUUAUUUUGCAUUGGGUAGUUCCUCCCCCUUCCGCACGUUCCUGAUUGUAGCAUUACUUGAAAUUAUUAUAGAAGCAGGAUGCUACUGUUGAUGACACUUGACAAUGAAAUGUAAGAACUUUAGAUACUAAUUUUACAAAUAUGACAGUUCUGUUAGAAACUUGGGAGUUCAGGAGAAGGGAUAAAAAGGUGUGAGUGGAUGGUUGUGUUAAGUUAUGCAGGUGCCAUUAGUUAGUUGUGGUAUUUCUCAGGUAAGGUUUUUUGGUUGGAGGUGGUGGCCGGAUAAUUUCAAGGAUGUGGGGGGUACCCGGUAAUAAGCUGCAUUUGAAGUGUGGGAACCAUCAAGGUCUCUAUCUUAAUGACAAAAGUCAGUAGUUAGUGUUAGUGCGUGCAGCACUUGAUUGAUUUGUGUGAGGCAUGUGGGGAGCAUAUGGACAAUGCUAUCGGAAUAUAAAUCAAUUUCACAUUGCUACUCAAGGGAGGUCAAUCUUCUCUUCUAUUCUUUUAAGGCCAGGUGUGAAGUAGUAUGCACUUUGCAAGGACAUGGGAAGCUUCUAAUGAGAAAGUGGCCAUUUUUUGACUUUAUUCCAAAUGAGGUUUCAUAUCAAGGGGAGAAGUCAAAUCUAUGUGAUAGCUAGAGGUAAUGGGACCCUGAGAUUGGGUUGUGUAGCAGAAGGGGACAUUAGUGGGGACUACCAGCUAUGCAGAUUCGUUACUGUUUCCUCAACCACUCAUGAAUACUCUGCUGCCAGAGAAUGCAGAUGAGGCUCUUCAUGAGGUGGUAACUUAUACUUUUCCACUUCCCACCAAUGAUGAUAAGGCUAAACAUGCGAGGGCCUAGGUUUGAGAGUGAACAUGAGUGAUUCCAGGGACAAGAUUAUUAUUUGGACAAGUUUAGCCUAGAAUAAUGCCUUUAACAACAUGCAGUUAUGUUGUAUUUGCUUUGAACUGCACUAUGCAUGGUUAGUUUAAUAUAGCCGGUUCCCUCUAAAUUUCAUGUUUGAGUGUCGGUUCUUAGUUUGGGUUAAUAUCUGCUUAAAUGUAUGCAUUGUUGGGAUUUAGGGCAUUCUUGGUUGGCUCUUAAUUGUGUAGGUGUGUUGGUUAACUUCAAUAUCUCACCAAUUCACACAACAUCCAUUAUUUGCAACGAAGUACUAGAUGUGCCAUUAGUGGGUGUUUCAAAGGAUUCAACCUUUUGAGUAAUGUGAUUGAUUUUUUUAAAGUGGUUUUGUGUAAAGUUUCAAUCUAUAGUGUCAAAUAUUUGAUUUCAUUUCAGUGUACGAGUUUAUUCAAUAUAGCAUCUCAAUUUUAUUUGAUUUCAAGCGAUUAUUUAAUAUGAAUUUAUUCAACGUUGCAUCUCUUGGUGACCACUCAAAAACAGCUAUUUAAUGGAGAGCCUCGUGUACAAAGCCUCCGCCUAUAUUAUGCAGACUCCACCUGAUAACUGCGUGCCCAUCGCAACUGCCAAUGCGUACAAAAUAGCUAGGCCCUGUUACCUUUGGUUAAUAAUGCUUGAGUUUGAACCCUUUCCUUCACCAUUAUCUUUUUACUUAUCUGGAGUAGCACUACUGUACUUUUGGUGUUUUAAAAAUGCAGGUAAUCGCCCUGCUGUUGUCAAUCGCGUUCCAUAUGCAAGCCUUUUACCCCAAAGAGACAGAUCCAUGGUACAGGGUCAGGAUACUUAUUCAUCAGGAGAUCUGUUCCUUUUGUCGCUAGCGUCCUUUUAAAAGCUUGUAAGGAGUCAGAUGAUGAAUCAGAUAUGGAAAUUAUUUUGGCUGGUUUGGCUUCUCUGAAUGAUGAAAUCCAG
Beta vulgaris subsp. vulgaris (sugar beet) is the source of this 4535-nucleotide RNA transcript. RefSeq lists it as uncharacterized. NCBI's taxonomy places the organism in Eukaryota, Viridiplantae, Streptophyta, Magnoliopsida, Caryophyllales, Amaranthaceae. The transcript is spliced from 14 exons. The record is from RefSeq and is a predicted model, not a curated record.